UACGUAGGGUCCGAGCGUUGUCCGGAAUUAUUGGGCGUAAAGAGCUCGUAGGCGGUUUGUCGCGUCUGCUGUGAAAUCCCGAGGCUCAACCUCGGGCCUGCAGUGGGUACGGGCAGACUGGAGUGCGGUAGGGGAGAAUGGAAUUCUCGGUGUAGCGGUGAAAUGCGUAGAUAUCGAGAGGAACACCUGCGGCGAAGGCGGGUUGCUGGGCUGAUACUGACGCUGAGGCGCGAAAGCCAGGGGAGCGAACGGG
This 253-nucleotide ribosomal RNA is filed under the name uncultured bacterium. RNAcentral's name for it is "partial 16S ribosomal RNA". It matches the Rfam family "Bacterial small subunit ribosomal RNA", at positions 524 to 776 of the family's 1533-position model. The record is from RNAcentral.